CCUACGGGUUGCAGCAGUGAGGAAUAUUGGUCAAUGGGCGAGAGCCUGAACCAGCCAAGUAGCGUGAAGGAUGACUGCCCUAUGGGUUGUAAACUUCUUUUAUAAAGGAAUAAAGUGUUCCACGUGUGCCCUUUUGUAUGUACUAUAUGAAUAAGGAUCGGCUAACUCCGUGCCAGCAGCCGCGGUAAUACGGAGGAUCCGAGCGUUAUCCGGAUUUAUUGGGUUUAAAGGGAGCGUAGAUGGAUUGUUAAGUCAGUUGUGAAAGUUUGCGGCUCAACCGUAAAAUUGCAGUUGAUACUGGCAGUCUUGAGUACAGUAGAGGUAGGCGGAAUUCGUGGUGUAGCGGUGAAAUGCUUAGAUAUCACGAAGAACUCCGAUUGCGAAGGCAGCUUACUGGACUGCAACUGACAGUGAUGCUCGAAAGUGUGGGUAUCAAACAGGAUUAGAUACCCUGGUAGUC
Molecule: ribosomal RNA, 460 nt
Filed under: uncultured bacterium
Lineage: Bacteria
Description: partial 16S ribosomal RNA
Rfam family: Bacterial small subunit ribosomal RNA
Source: RNAcentral